CAGCAGCCGCGGGAAUACGGAGGGUGCAAGCGUUAAUCGGAAUUACUGGGCGUAAAGCGCACGCAGGCGGUCUGACAAGUCAGAUGUGAAAUCCCCGGGCUUAACCUGGGAACUGCAUUUGAAACUGUCAGGCUGGAGUCUUGUAGAGGGGGGUGGAAUUCCAGGUGUAGCGGUGAAAUGCGUAGAGAUCUGGAGGAAUACCGGUGGCGAAGGCGGCCCCCUGGACAAAGACUGACGCUCAGGUGCGAAAGCGUGGGGAGCAAACAGGAUUAGAUACCCGAGUAGUCCCUGUCUCUUAUAC
This 301-nucleotide ribosomal RNA is filed under the name uncultured bacterium. RNAcentral describes it as "partial 16S ribosomal RNA". It matches the Rfam family "Bacterial small subunit ribosomal RNA", at positions 509 to 807 of the family's 1533-position model. The record is from RNAcentral.